Molecule: RNA transcript, 1661 nt
Organism: Malus domestica (apple)
Lineage: Eukaryota; Viridiplantae; Streptophyta; Magnoliopsida; Rosales; Rosaceae
Source: RefSeq, a predicted model, not a curated record
CAGUGGGAUGGUUGCGCAAACAAUUUAUUAUAAUAAAUUUUUUCUUUUAAUAUCAUCUUGCGCGAGGCCACAAUAGAAUCGUUGAUGAGCGGUUUCUUUAAAAUUUUCCGAUUGGAAAAAAAGGGCGCCUCCCUCACUUCAAGCAUAACCUCGAAGAAGUCUCCUUUCCUAUCUUUUAUCUGAUCAUUUUGAGACAUCCGACACCCUUCUUCUUCGCUCCUCUGCUCUCUCUCCGUUUCGGUACACUCCCCUGCAAAUUCCGUCCUCUGCAGACAGAAAACCUCAAUUUCUUCGCAGCAGUACUUUCAGGAAAUGUUGGUUCAGAGGAGAGUGAUGACGUGGGGGUCGGUGGCCAAGCCUCUCCAAACACUUGUCGCCGACGCGUCGCUUUUCACGUUCACGACUCUGAUCGUUCUCAAGCUCCACCGUUCCGUCCGCUAUCCUUGGUGAAUGAUCAGAGAAACGGACCAUACGGCCCACUUCCAACAACAUUGAUAUUGUCUCCAACUUGGUAAUUACCACCUGCACAAUCCGUCAGGUGUGAGGUUUUAUCACAAAAUGCCUCAGUAUUAGUUGGAAUGAGAUUAUGGUAUUUGAACUCUUCUUUUGUCAUUGAUACGGUCGAUGUGAUACAUUUCAACACGUCCACUCACCUGAGACCCAAUUAGCAUGUUACACGUGGGAGAUCCACAUAUUGACAACCAUGUGGAGCUAAGAGGCCUCACCCUACACGCGGGGCCAAGGGACCCACCAUGGCUAAGGGGACCCACCAAUCACGUGGUAGUACGGAUCAUAUUUUCCCCUCUCUGGCUGUUCCAUGUAGUUGUAGCACGAGGCAGAUUUUCGUUACCUGCUCCAAACCUGCCUAAUGAUCGCAAUUGGGCACCUUUUCAUGCUGUCAUGGCGACACCGUUGCUUGUCGCAGUUGAACUAACGCUUUGUAUAUACCUUCAGCGCAGAUAUGUUGUGAGCUUGAAGAUUGUCUUUGCACCCUUGUUGGCAUUUGAACUAGCAAUUCUAUUGAUAAUGUCAGGUAUCUCUAUUUCUUCCAAUCAUAUUUCCAAACUUCCUUAAUGUUUUUUUCUUUAGGAGGGUUCUAAGUUCCCAGAGCUCGACAUGUUCAAGGACGUUUAUGUUCGACCUAGCGAUGAGAAUAGCUCCAUGCUGCUAUGGUGGAAAAACACACUGCUGUUCUCCAAUAAGAAGCAACAUUACAGCUUUCCUCGGAGACCCCGAUCAAGGAUGCAGGUCUUCAGAUCUUGAUUGAGGUCCAGGAUCAGAAGUUCGGUCGUCGUCAUGGCAAGGUUGUUUGGUGUAUGGGGAAGGCGCGGGUUCAUGAGACGGGUGCCUUCUCUUCCAAAUCGACCACAGGACAUGUCAACGCUCUGAAAGAGGAAGUGACAACCCUAAAAGGUCAGCUUACGGUCCAAGGCGAGUAGAUGAGCAUGAUUGUACGAGCCUUACAGAUGUCCAGCCUCCAAAUCCCGAUGCCAGCACCUGAUCUUGCUCCACCUUCGACCUCCCAACCACUUCGCUCAACUGAUACCCAGUAGCCUGAUGUAUCAAACCUAGAAGACUACUUGUAGUUUUUUUUUGUUUGGACAUCUUGUAUGUACGUUUUCAUAUAUUUUAUAAUUAAAUACUUUUUCUUGGUUUAUUAA